This 472-nucleotide ribosomal RNA is filed under the name uncultured bacterium. RNAcentral's name for it is "bacterial SSU rRNA". It matches the Rfam family "Bacterial small subunit ribosomal RNA", at positions 40 to 507 of the family's 1533-position model. The record is from RNAcentral.
CGGCAUGCCUUACACAUGCAAGUCGAACGGCAGCACGGGAGCAAUCCUGGUGGCGAGUGGCGAACGGGUGAGUAAUAUAUCGGAACGUGCCCGGUCGUGGGGGAUAACGUAGCGAAAGCUACGCUAAUACCGCAUACGAUCUACGGAUGAAAGCGGGGGAUCGCAAGACCUCGCGCGAUUGGAGCGGCCGAUAUCAGAUUAGGUAGUUGGUGAGGUAAAGGCUCACCAAGCCGACGAUCUGUAGCUGGUCUGAGAGGACGACCAGCCACACUGGGACUGAGACACGGCCCAGACUCCUACGGGAGGCAGCAGUGGGGAAUUUUGGACAAUGGGCGCAAGCCUGAUCCAGCAAUGCCGCGUGCAGGAUGAAGGCCUUCGGGUUGUAAACUGCUUUUGUACGGAACGAAACGGUGAGCUCUAAUACAGUUUGCUAAUGACGGUACCGUAAGAAUAAGCACCGGCUAACUACGUG